This 1434-nucleotide ribosomal RNA is filed under the name uncultured bacterium. Its description in RNAcentral is "bacterial SSU rRNA". It matches the Rfam family "Bacterial small subunit ribosomal RNA". The record is from RNAcentral.
AGAGUUUGAUCCUGGCUCAGGAUGAACGCCGGCGGUGUGCCUAAUACAUGCAAGUCGUACGCACUGGCCCAACUGAUUGAUGGUGCUUGCACCUGAUUGACGAUGGAUCACCAGUGAGUGGCGGACGGGUGAGUAACACGUAGGUAACCUGCCCCGGAGCGGGGGAUAACAUUUGGAAACAGAUGCUAAUACCGCAUAACAACAAAAGCCACAUGGCUUUUGUUUGAAAGAUGGCCUUGGCUAUCACUCUGGGAUGGACCUGCGGUGCAUUAGCUAGUUGGUAAGGUAACGGCUUACCAAGGCGAUGAUGCAUAGCCGAGUUGAGAGACUGAUCGGCCACAAUGGAACUGAGACACGGUCCAUACUCCUACGGGAGGCAGCAGUAGGGAAUCUUCCACAAUGGGCGCAAGCCUGAUGGAGCAACACCGCGUGAGUGAAGAAGGGUUUCGGCUCGUAAAGCUCUGUUGUUGGAGAAGAACGUGCGUGAGAGUAACUGUUCACGCAGUGACGGUAUCCAACCAGAAAGUCACGGCUAACUACGUGCCAGCAGCCGCGGUAAUACGUAGGUGGCAAGCGUUAUCCGGAUUUAUUGGGCGUAAAGCGAGCGCAGGCGGUUGCUUAGGUCUGAUGUGAAAGCCUUCGGCUUAACCGAAGAAGUGCAUUGGAAACUGUUGAACUUGAGUGCAGAAGAGGACAGUGGAACUCCAUGUGUAGCGGUGGAAUGCGUAGAUAUAUGGAAGAACACCAGAGGCGAAGGCGGCUGUCUGGUCUGCAACUGACGCUGAGGCUCGAAAGCAUGGGUAGCGAACAGGAUUAGAUACCCUGGUAGUCCAUACCGUAAACGAUGAGUGCUAGGUGUUGGAGGGUUUCCGCCCUUCAGUGCCGGAGCUAACGCAUUAAGCACUCCGCCUGGGGAGUACGACCGCAAGGUUGAAACUCAAAGGAAUUGACGGGGGCCCGCACAAGCGGUGGAGCAUGUGGUUUAAUUCGAAGCUACGCGAAGAACCUUACCAGGUCUUGACAUCUUGCGCUAACCUUAGAGAUAAGGCGUUCCCUUCGGGGACGCAAUGACAGGUGGUGCAUGGUCGUCGUCAGCUCGUGUCGUGAGAUGUUGGGUUAAGUCCCGCAACGAGCGCAACCCUUGUUACUAGUUGCCAGCAUUAAGUUGGGCACUCUAGUGAGACUGCCGGUGACAAACCGGAGGAAGGUGGGGACGACGUCAGAUCAUCAUGCCCCUUAUGACCUGGGCUACACACGUGCUACAAUGGACGGUACAACGAGUCGCAAGCUCGCGAGAGUAAGCUAAUCUCUUAAAGCCGUUCUCAGUUCGGACUGUAGGCUGCAACUCGCCUACACGAAGUCGGAAUCGCUAGUAAUCGCGGAUCAGCAUGCCGCGGUGAAUACGUUCCCGGGCCUUGCACACACCGCCCGUCA